This 193-nucleotide ribosomal RNA is filed under the name uncultured Bacillota bacterium. RNAcentral describes it as "uncultured Firmicutes bacterium partial 16S ribosomal RNA". It matches the Rfam family "Bacterial small subunit ribosomal RNA", at positions 338 to 524 of the family's 1533-position model. The record is from RNAcentral. Lineage: Bacteria; Bacillati; Bacillota.
CCUAGGGAGGCAGCAGUGGGGAAUCUUCCACAAUGGACGAAAGUCUGAUGGAGCAACGCCGCGUGAGUGAAGAAGGCUUUCGGGUCGUAAAACUCUGUCUUCAGGGACGAAUGUGCGAAUCGUGAAUAAUGAUUUGCAAUGACGGUACCUGAGGAGGAAGCCACGGCUAACUACGUGCCAGCAGCCGCGUAAU